GGGAAAUGCGGUGUGGUGGUGGUGGGAACUGAAGCAGACGAGGGGCUCUGAAGGGGUAAAUAGGAGCCUCACUAUCCAGACGGAAUAAGAGAUGGAAAUUUCCUUUUCAGACAAUGAUUCUGAAAAGGGAGAGACUUGGAGGAGCAAACACGCAGAGAAGCGUGCAGCAGAGAGGGGAGAGGGGCGCAGGAAAGAACUAGAAGAUGUCAAGAAUGGCCUGCUCACCUCAGCAUCUGGCUCAAUGAGUCGAAAAGGCAGUU
Hippopotamus amphibius kiboko is the source of this 260-nucleotide long non-coding RNA. RefSeq lists it as uncharacterized. The transcript has 3 exons. Lineage: Eukaryota; Metazoa; Chordata; Mammalia; Artiodactyla; Hippopotamidae. The record is from RefSeq and is a predicted model, not a curated record.